GUGAAAUAAAUCACAAAACAAACAUACACCCCUUUGUUUGAACGUGAACAUUUCUCCCAUCCCCUUUGUGAAAAGGACCGUCACUAUUAUACAGAAUAGUGACGGUCCUUUU
RNAcentral lists this small RNA (112 nucleotides) under Ureibacillus massiliensis 4400831 = CIP 108448 = CCUG 49529. Its description in RNAcentral is "Lysinibacillus massiliensis 4400831 = CIP 108448 = CCUG 49529 RNA Staph. aureus E (RoxS)". It matches the Rfam family "RNA Staph. aureus E (RoxS)". From Rfam's summary of the family: It was shown to be regulated by the presence of nitric oxide (NO). In Bacillus subtilis it controls expression of genes with functions related to oxidative stress and oxidation-reduction reactions and it was renamed RoxS (for related to oxidative stress). The record is from Rfam by way of RNAcentral. Lineage: Bacteria; Bacillati; Bacillota; Bacilli; Caryophanales; Caryophanaceae.